UUGGAGGGCAAGUCUGGUGCCAGCAGCCGCGGUAAUUCCAGCUCCAAUAGCGUAUAUUAAAGUUGUUGCAGUUAAAAAGCUCGUAGUUGAAUUUCGGGAUUAGUACGUUGGUCGUGCCUUAGGUACGUACUGGUGUUACUGGUUCCUACCUUCUGACGAACCAUCAUGUCAUUAAUUUGGUGUGGUGGGGAAUCAGGACUGUUACUUUGAAAAAAUUAGAGUGUUUAAAGCAGGCUCGCGCUUGAAUACAUUAGCAUGGAAUAAUGAAAUAGGUACG
RNAcentral lists this ribosomal RNA (277 nucleotides) under uncultured Glomus. RNAcentral describes it as "partial 18S ribosomal RNA". It matches the Rfam family "Eukaryotic small subunit ribosomal RNA", at positions 548 to 830 of the family's 1831-position model. Lineage: Eukaryota; Fungi; Glomeromycota; Glomeromycetes; Glomerales; Glomeraceae. The record is from RNAcentral.